Molecule: ribosomal RNA, 251 nt
Filed under: uncultured bacterium
Lineage: Bacteria
Description: partial 16S ribosomal RNA
Rfam family: Bacterial small subunit ribosomal RNA
Source: RNAcentral
GACAUAGGUGGCGAACGUUAUCCGGAUUUAUUGGGCGUAAAGGAUGCGUAGGUGGUAGAAUAAGUUAUUGGUCGAAGUCAGGCUCAACUUGACGGAAGCUGGUAAAACUAUUUUGCUAGAGGAUAGGAGAGGUUAGCGGAACUCUAUGAGUAAGGGUGAAAUCUGUUGAUCCAUGGAGGACCACCAGUGGCGAAGGCGGCUAUCUGGACGGUUUCUGACGCUAAGACGCGAAAGCGUGGGGAGCAAACAGG